Molecule: long non-coding RNA, 1045 nt
Filed under: Equus asinus (donkey)
Lineage: Eukaryota; Metazoa; Chordata; Mammalia; Perissodactyla; Equidae
Description: lncRNA (ENSEASG00005032898.1)
Source: RNAcentral
UCAUAGAUGGGAAGAUGUAAUAUCAGAAAAACGUCAAUUCUCUCCAAAUUAAUCUCUAAAUUAAGUGGUAUGCCUAAUGAUUUCCCUUGGAACUUGACAAGCUUAACCCAAAAUUCGUGUGAAAAAGCAAAAAGCCCAGAAUAGUUGAGGCAACUUUAAAGAAAAAGAAUAAUGUGAGGAACAUACCCCCAUUGAUAUCAAGAACAAUUAUAAAGCCAUAGUUGCUCUCAAGUCUAGGAUAGUGCCUGAGACAGACAGUUCUCAAUGAAUAUUUGCUAGGUAGAUUGAUGAUGGAUGGAUGAAUGGACUCUAAUGCGUGGGGAACACGCAGAUAUGCAGGGUAACUCUGGAUCGUACCAGACCUUAUGUUACUUCUUGUCUGGGGACAGGAUUAACUCUCGAACCAGUGGGGUAAGGAGUGAGCUGAACCUGAAGAUGAGGGUGAUUCAGAGGGCAAGGACCAGGGAAGUUUGGCUCUGAGAAAGGGCAGUGCAGAGAGCUGACUAAUUUGUUUCCUUUGUCUACAGAUACUUUGGCACCUUUAAGCAAAUUCAUACAAUUUGAGUAUGAGGAUUUGGAAAUGAAAGUGGCAUUCUAUAGUUGAAAGAAGUUUUGUCAUCAGUGAUUUGGGUUUAAAUCCGACUCUGAGUAGCAGUGUAACUCUGGGCAGCUCUAUCAAGAUUUUGGACAGAGUAUGUCAGAAUCAUGUCUAUAAGAUUCAGUGUGGACUAAUGCAAAGUGAGCCUGGACUGGAAGUCAGAAGAACUGGAUACAAGUUCUAAUGUUAUCUGAGAGCAGGCCUCUGUUAAUAGGUCUUGUUACCGUGGCAGAGACAACGGGAAAAUAUAGGCUAAUCAGAAGCAUUGUGCACAACAAUGAAACCUUGCAACUCUAUGUAUAUUGACGUGUGUGGGCGGGGGGGCAUAUCAGGUUACUCAAGAUGGCUAAAACUGACUGAAUCAGUAACCUCUAAUCUGUAAAAAACAGCAGACUCCCUAUAAUUCCUUAAAAUAAAUGUGGGUUUGAGAGACUCUCCCUGAGAUAA